RNAcentral lists this ribosomal RNA (212 nucleotides) under uncultured bacterium. RNAcentral's name for it is "partial 16S ribosomal RNA". It matches the Rfam family "Bacterial small subunit ribosomal RNA", at positions 1289 to 1500 of the family's 1533-position model. The record is from RNAcentral.
CAGUUCAGAUUGCAGGCUGCAACUCGCCUGCAUGAAGUUGGAAUUGCUAGUAAUCGCGAAUCAGAAUGUCGCGGUGAAUACGUUCCCGGGCCUUGUACACACCGCCCGUCACACCAUGAGAGUCGAUAACACCCGAAGCCUGUGAGCUAACCGUAAGGAGGCAGCAGUCGAAGGUGGGGUUGAUGAUUGGGGUGAAGUCGUAACAAGGUAUC